Molecule: ribosomal RNA, 446 nt
Filed under: uncultured bacterium
Lineage: Bacteria
Description: partial 16S ribosomal RNA
Rfam family: Bacterial small subunit ribosomal RNA
Source: RNAcentral
CCUACGGGUGGCAGCAGUCGAGAAUCAUUCACAAUGGGGGAAACCCUGAUGGUGCGACGCCGCGUGGGGGAAUGAAGGUCUUCGGAUUGUAAACCCCUGUCAUGUGGGAGCAAAUUAAAAAGAUAGUACCACAAGAGGAAGAGACGGCUAACUCUGUGCCAGCAGCCGCGGUAAUUCAGAGGUCUCAAGCGUUGUUCGGAAUCACUGGGCGUAAGGCGUGCGUAGGCUGUUUCGUAAGUCGUGUGUGAAAGGCGCGGGCUCAACCCGCGGACGGCACAUGAUACUGCGAGACUAGAGUAAUGGAGGGGGAACCGGAAUUCUCGGUGUAGCAGUGAAAUGCGUAGAUAUCGAGAGGAACACUCGUGGCGAAGGCGGGUUCCUGGACAUUAACUGACGCUGAGGCACGAAGGCCAGGGGAGCGAAAGGGAUUAGAUACCCUAGUAGUC